RNAcentral lists this non-coding RNA (29 nucleotides) under Mus musculus (house mouse). The record is from RNAcentral. Lineage: Eukaryota; Metazoa; Chordata; Mammalia; Rodentia; Muridae.
UAGGACAAGGACUAUCCCCUCUGCAGAGA